UACUUCGGAUCGUAAACUUCUGUUAACGGAAAGAAAGAAUCACCAGUAAUAUGGGUGAGAGAUGACGUUACCGUUAAAGAAAGCACCGGCUAACUUCGUGC
Molecule: ribosomal RNA, 101 nt
Filed under: uncultured bacterium
Lineage: Bacteria
Description: partial 16S ribosomal RNA
Source: RNAcentral